UAAAGGUCUCGAGUACUGUUUGUGGACCAUAUUCUGAUAUGUUCGAGAGUAAAAAAAAGUAUUACUUGUGACCUUAUUCUGAUAAGUUCGACAAUGUAUAAGGUGUAAGUACGGAUGUUUUAUUCCUUAACCCACAAACUUUACAAUAUUGUAAUAAUUAUAAAGAAAAUUUCGCAGUCACGUUGGAAAUUUAGAUAACAUGCAAAACUUAAUUAUCUUCCAAUGUUUC
This is a long non-coding RNA of Zophobas morio, 229 nucleotides long. RefSeq lists it as uncharacterized. The transcript is spliced from 3 exons. The record is from RefSeq and is a predicted model, not a curated record. NCBI's taxonomy places the organism in Eukaryota, Metazoa, Arthropoda, Insecta, Coleoptera, Tenebrionidae.